UACGGAGGGUGCAAGCAUUAAUCGGAUUUAUUGGGCGUAAAGGGCGCGUAGGCGGCAUUGUAAGUCAGAUGUGAAAUCCCGGGGCUCAACCCCGGAACUGCAUUUGAAACUGCAAUACUAGAGGGUAGGCGGAGAAAAUGGAAUUCCACAAGUAGCGGUGAAAUGCGUAGAUAUGUGGAAGAACACCGGUGGCGAAGGCGGUUUUCUAGCUUACUCCUGACGCUAAGGCGCGAAAGCAAGGGGAUCAAACAGG
Molecule: ribosomal RNA, 253 nt
Filed under: uncultured bacterium
Lineage: Bacteria
Description: partial 16S ribosomal RNA
Rfam family: Bacterial small subunit ribosomal RNA
Source: RNAcentral